GCUGAUUGGAAGAGGUAAUCAUUUUAUCUGCGGCUGGAGGAUUAGCAGAUAAACUUUUAUUGCUCCCUUUUGUGCGUGUGUGUGUCUUUGUGCGUGCGUGGGUGUGGGUGUGUAGAGGAAGAAGUCGCCUCUCAAGGGGGAAAAUCUUUUCAAUUUCCCUUUGGCAGGUGCAAGUCAAGGAGGAACUCAUGAGCAUUUUGUCUGAUCCAUGAACUGAUUGGGAGAGGGGAAGCGAUCCCUGUCCUCUUAUCCUUCCUUUCCCAGUUUUGAAAUCAUUCCUUCCCCACCACCGCCGUCCUCCCGUCGUUCCCCUCCUCUUCCCCUUCCCCUGCACUGAAUGAAUGGAAGAGUCUCCACGGUUUUCUUCUGCUUCUCGCCCUGGACUGGAGAAGUGAGGGGGCAUUUAUCUAUCCUCAUCCAUCUCUUUUUCGCUCCAUCCAUUCCCGAGGGGAUUUCAGACUGUGCAAUGUGUUUUCAGCCUCUUGCCGCUGCUACCACUUGAUACUAUGCUACGCGCAGGGAGAGGGUUUUGCAAAAAUGGAUUUAUUGUAUUUUAAAGGAUUUCUUCUCUAAUAAGGUUCUCAUUGCACACAAGUAUGACUAAAUCCCCUAUUUGGUAACUCUUUCUCUACCCCACCCCUCCUCUUUGGGUUCCCUCCCGCCCGCCCCCACCCCUUCAGAGGAGCAAGCACAGGGAGCUGAUGACGGACCCAUUAAUCCCUUCUUCAAUGCAUCAAAAGAAGCCGAAGGGCUGGAAGUCGCUGGGCUCGGAGUCCUGCAGAAAAUGCUUCGAUCUGCUUUUGGUUCUGUAUGAAACUGGUGACUAGGGGCUCGGCUCGCUCCGCCGCCGCCGCCCGCCGGCACCUGGAUGCGCGGGCCGCCGCCGCCGCCGCCGCCUUGCCCGCCGCCGCCGCGAUGCACCGCUCGCGGCGGUGCUGGUGAUCGCUCGGGUGUGAUGGGAUUCAGCCGGCGGUGAUCAUUUGAAGGCGGUGAGGGAGAGCGAGGGAGAGAAAGGGCUGCUCCGCUCUGCUGUGUGUGGGCUUCGGGAUUUUUUUUUUCUUUUUUUUUUCUUCUUCUUCUUCUUCUUUUUUUCCUACUUCCAUCCUCUCCCCGCCACUGGAAGUCCUCCCGUAUCUAAAUGGAAUUAGUGGAGACCGAAGCCCCUUGUGUAAGGAACAGACAUGACCCAUGGGCGCAGCUUCUUUCACAUUGUAGCAAGUCUAAUCAUCCUACAUUUUUCUGGGGCAACCAAAAAAGGAACAGAAAAGCAAACUUCUUCCGAAGGACAGAGACCAGUGCAGUGUGGAUCUUGGACAAAAUAUGCAGAAGGAGGGAUCUUCACUUCUCCAAAUUACCCCAACAAGUAUCCUCCAGACAGAGAGUGCGUCUACAUUAUAGAAGCUGCUCCUAGACAAUGCAUUGAACUACACUUUGAUGAAAAAUAUUCCAUAGAGCCUUCUUGGGAGUGUAAAUUUGACCAUAUUGAAGUACGAGAUGGACCUUUUGGCUUUUCCCCAAUCAUUGGACGUUUCUGUGGACAGCAAAAUCCACCUAUGAUAAAAUCCAGUGGCAGAUUCCUGUGGAUUAAAUUUUUUGCUGAUGGUGAACUGGAAUCUAUUGGGUUUUCUGCUCGGUAUAAUUUUACACCUGAUCCAGAUUUUAAGGACCUUGGGGUUUUGAAGCCAUUGCCAGUUUGUGAGUUUGAGAUGGGAGGACCUGAAGGAAUUGUGGAAUCUGUACAAAUUGUUAAAGAAGGAAAAGCUUCUGAAACUGAAGCAGUAGACUGUAAAUGGUACAUCCGAGCACCACCCCGAUCCAAGAUCUAUUUGCGAUUCUUGGACUACGAGAUGCAGAAUUCCAACGAAUGCAAAAGGAAUUUUGUAGCAGUCUAUGACGGAAGCAGCUCUGUGGAGGAUUUGAAGGCAAAGUUUUGCAGCACUGUUGCCAAUGAUGUAAUGCUGAGGACAGGUCUGGGUGUAAUCCGUAUGUGGGCAGAUGAAGGCAGUCGCAACAGCCGAUUCCAGAUGCUCUUCACAUCUUUCCAAGAACCCCCCUGUGAAGCCAACACAUUCUUUUGCCACAGUAAUAUGUGUAUAAAUAACACACUGGUCUGCAAUGGACUCCAGAACUGUGUGUAUCCCUGGGAUGAAAACCACUGCAAAGAAAAAAGAAAAGCAAACCUAUUGGACCAACUUACCAAUACCAGUGGGACUAUAAUUGGGGUGACUUCUUGCAUUGUGAUCAUCCUCAUUGUUAUCUCUAUUAUAGUACAGAUCAAGCAGCCUCGUAAAAAAUUUGUCCCAAGGAAAACAGACUUUGAUCAAACAGUGUUCCAGGAGGUGUUUGAGCCUCCUCAUUAUGAGUUAUGCACCCUUAGAGGGACAGGGACUACAGCUGACCUUGCUGACGUUGCAGAUGACUUUGAAAAUUAUCAUAAACUGCGGAGAUCCUCUUCAAAAUGCAUUCAUGACCAUCACUGUGGAUCACAAGUGUCUAGUAUUAAGGGCAGCCGUAGUAACCUCAGCACAAGAGAUGCUUCUGUCUUGACAGAAAUACAACCCCAGCCUGUAAAACCACUUGUUCAGCCCAUGAACAGGAGAAAUAUCCUUGUCAUGAAGCAUAGCUACACACAAGAUGCUGCAGAUGCGUGCGAGAUAGACGAAAUUGAAGAGGUGCCAACCACAAGUCACAGGCUGUCCAGACAUGAUAAAGCUGUUCAGCGCCAUAACAUUCCAGGUUCUGCCUCAUUGGGUCUCUAAGCAAACAUGAGUCUGAGUACAACACAACUAGGGUCUAAGAGAAAAACCUGAGGAAAAGGAAUUGUGCUGAUCCACAAUCUCCCAACAAGGUCACUAUGGGAAAAAAGGGAAGCUGCUAUCCCCUUCAAGCCAUGAAUUGUAACUGGGAGAAGAGAGACAAUUUAAGAAGCCCAUGAUGAAAAAUGGAAUGAGCAAGACUGCUUAGAUUUCUUUACCAAAGUAACAGGCCUGACCAGCACUGUGCAGCAUCAUUUCAUCACUUCAUCUCAGAUAAAGGAAAACAGCAAUUCAAGCCUUCUUUAUCCCAAGGAGAAGGAUGCCACAACUGUGAGUACCAAUUCUAUUCAGAGCUCUUCAAGGAUUUAACAGCUUCUUGCAUAAAUGUAGGCAGACAAGGACUUACUGGGCCUAUGAGGGUAGUCUUUUGCUUCCACAUGCAGCAUCAGCAACAUCUAGCUAUUUAGAUCUUUUAAGUUUUCCAUUAUUCAGUGAGUCCUCCUGAGCUCCAGAAAGGUACAUAAUAAACACACUUAGCUACUUAAAAAUUAGUGGCUUUACAGGAAAGCAACUAUUGGUAUUUAGUUUAGUUGGAUGUGAAAAGUACCCAUGGCGCUUGAAGCAACUAUUAAGAAAAAAAUAGGUGCUUUUUUUGCACAGAUGCUAGAUUGAUGUAUCUGGUUCAGUGAACCAUUCACCUGGAUCAACUAAAUGAAAACACCUUCCAUCUGAAAUUUUACUUCUAAAACUGCACUGCCUGAUUCAUGCUUUAGUCACAUCCUCCUUCUAGAUCCUGCUUUUUUCUGAGUUCAGUGGAAGUUUUAGUUAGGAAAAAUCAGUUUGUUGAAAGUGAAUGACUUUCACUGUCUUUAGUGAAGCCAAAAAUAUGAUUUAUACUGGGGAAGGAGAGCUUCAUUCUCAUUUCUUAGUGCUAGAGGAGUUUUCAACGCAAGUAAUCUGCUCUUUCCCUUUGUUUUAAAAAUCAGUGAUUCAAAGAAAAAUUAAUGCUAUAAGGUGAUACAUGUAAGUUUGAGAAGGGAAGUAAAACAAUGAAAGAGAACACUAGAAAUCUAAAUUAAGCAUAUUUUCCCAAUGAUCAAAGCAACAAUAAUAUUUUCAGAAGUUACAAGGCUAACAGUUGAACCCUUAUUUAUUAUACAAGCCCAAUGCUACCUUUCAGUUUUGUAAUAAAUUUCAUAUUAUCGUAAGAUAAAAUUCAGCUGAGGAAUAGGAGUGAUUUUAUAUUUGUAUACCAAUUUAAAAUUUAACACUUAAAAAUCUUUAAGGUGCUGAUAUCCUUUAUUUUAAAGACAACUGGUUUUGCUGGUCAGAAAGAAUUACUGUCUUUCUUUUUUUUCAGAGCCAAGUUUCUGCAUUUUGAGUUUUCCUUGCCAAAUGGAAGACGUUUUUAAUUCCUUUCCAACUUUUUCACUCCCACAUUCUACUGACUGAUUUUGGUGUAGAAAACACCCAUGGGGUGAUUUUGUUUGAUAUUCUGAGCAUAUCUGGCACCUCUUUAGUAAUGAAACAGUACAGUAAAGCUCUGCCUGCAGGAAGAAUUUCUUCAACUGUUAUCUAAGUUGCAUGGCAAAGAUCCAGUCCCAGAGACUUGUGCUGUCAUUUGAGAAUAACUUUAGUGACACAAAAUAUCUUGUUAGCUUUCAGUGUCUUGGUAGAAAGUCUACACUAAUCUAGGCAAAUAUUAUUUAACUAUUAAUUAUUUAAAUUUUACAUUUUUAGAAUGUCAAUAUGGCACCUCCACUUGUUAAUAUUGCCAUCUCUUUGGUGAUUGAAAAAGAGAGUAAUGUUAACAUGGAAAACCUAGAGUUCAUAGCAGAAGGUGGCAAAGAUUAUGUGACAUUUUUAUUAAAUAUGCUACAGUUUUCAGGUCUGUGAUUGUUUUCCUUAAAUUCAGCUAGAAUUCUUAGUUUUACUUAUCCCUUUUGUGAUGCAAACUUUGUAGUCUUUAUAUGUCUAUCAGAUUAGCAUCUCUUUUGCAGCUCAGUAGCUUGUGGGGGCUCAAAAAGAAGAAAAAAUAUUUCCUGUUCUGGGAUAUAAUAUACAGCUUUAUAAAAAAGUCUAUCAAUUAUCAUUAGAGUUUAGCUGGAUCACAAUGUGCUGCUAGAAAAUUAUUAGAUUUGAUAUGCAUAAAAAUAAAAAUAGGAAAUUUCUCUAGAAGUUCUGCAUGAUUUUCAUUCCCUAAGAUUUUAUUAUUCAACUGCAUUUGAUCAAAAGAUAGAAACCUCAACAGGCAUAAACGUUUAUGAAAAUCUCAAUAGGGACAUAAACCUUAUAUAGCAUGAAGUUUUAAACACACAUCUGUUUGGAAUAUAUGGAGAAAAGAGAGGGAAUAUUUAGAAACUUUUAAAAUGCUUUUAGAAAAUGAGUGCUGCUUCCAUCUCAGAAUUAAUCAAACAGAUUUUCCACAGGCUCCUUUCUGUAAAAUCUGUGCGUUGGGAUGAACAAUCCAUUUAAAUGAGAGGUAUAAAAUGAAAUAUUUAAGAAGGAACAGAAGUAGAUCAUGGUAGUGAAAGUGUUUGGAAGUAUGGUGUGUGAUUCUGAACCUAGUAAAUACACCUUGAAAUACUACAAAAUUUAAGUCCCUUUGGUUUCCUUACUAUAAGGCGUAUGAUUUAAAGCUGUGACAUACCAGGGGCAUAAUAGCCAAUUAAGUAAAUAGGAAGUUUCUUUCUUAGAGUUCCUGAAUCAGAAUCUUGUCAUCCAGCCUCUAAGCCUCAGCACCUUCUGUUGCUGAUGGCACUAAAUGAGCUGAUAAUUCAGAAGGCUCUUUGUGACAGACCGCUUGUCAUUUUGGUUAGGACUCCAAAACCCGCCUCCAGCUAUGAUGGUAAUAACAGAAGUUAGUGGGUGAUGAAAAAUUUGGUUCAGUUAACCCUUAACUACAUAUCUAUUUUGCCUUUUAUCUGUCUUUACAUUUUACUAAUUAAAGUAGAAAUUAGAGGGUAGCUAAUUUAAUUUAAAAUAUGUUCUAUCGCUCUAUCUGGAUUUUCUUUAGCAUUCUUGAAACCUGUUUGCUGAUAAACACCUAUCAAGUAUUUAUUAUUUAACACUAUGGCUCAAAUGACUUUUAGCUUGAGCAUGAAGUUCUGAAGAUUUAAAUUUUGUUAUCUCACCUCACUCCUUGACAUUUAUUAAUAUUUCAAAGCUCUCUCAGGAUCUGCUAUCCAGUUUGGAGAUGACUUUUUUCAGUGCUGAAUACCAGCCGUGUCAGAAGUAAGAAGAAAAACUUUGCAUCUGAAGAUUAAUAAUCCAUUUUCUCAAUGCAAAGAACAAUCAGAGUACUAGAGCCACACUUCUACUGCUAGGGGAAAAAGAACUCUAAAAUUUCAACUUGCCAGGUUGUAUUUUUGCUGUGAAAAGAGUCCUUGUCUUCAGUUUCAAAGUGCAUUCAGGAAAAAGUGGAAAUCAAAGGAGGAUGAUAAAGAAAAAAAAUCAUGCAAAACCCCAACAGUGGUAAGUAAAUAAAUAAUUGUACACUUGUGCCUAAAAUUAAUGUACAGCAUACCAUGGGGUGGAGCCUCUACUGCUCCUUUUGGAUAACUUGCAAAUCCUCUAAGGAGUUUAUGGUGAUUGUUUUUAGACCUGGGUCAGGUAUUGUUUGCUAACAUGUUAGUUAAGUUGUGCUCAUCUACUUCUAAGAUUUAUGGACUCUCUACAUUCCUAAAUGCUUUUUAAAGACAUUGGCCAGACAGUUCCAACAAUUUCCACUACUUCACUUAUUUUAUAGAUCAUAUAUAGAUCAUGUAUAGAUCACAGGAACUCCAAUAUGGAACUCCUAUUGAGACUAGCAAAAGAUUGCAUAGCUAUGGCAUCUCGUCAGUAUUGUAAUCAUAGAGCAUUGUUGGAAAAAUGGGAGAAAAUACAGCGAUGUAUUGUAAUGUGACAUUCAAGGACACCAUCCACAGAACCCUAGAAUAGGACCUUUUAGCGAAAAUGCAGUAUGGAGUCACCUCUAAGGAUCUUUCCUUUGUCCUUUUUCAUAUGCUGAUUUCUAAAAUAAUAGCAAAUAUUGUGAAGGAGAAAGAGAGAACAAAAGCAUAAACCAGAUUUUUGCUUUUGUCAUAAUAAUAAUGCUUAUCUCUAUGUCUACUGCUUGGGUAAUGUAUUGUUUGGGAAGAAUUCUGUGCUGGUACAGGCUUUCAAUCAUAACAUGUAAGGUUGAUGCUUAUGCAAGCCUUCUGCAAGAUUAUUGAUGUUUCAUAAAAUUCAUAAAUCCAAUAAACAUGAUAUGAGAAUAUUACAGCAUUUUGCCUUUGCUGUUUUCAACAGGAAAUGCAUUCUAGAUUAAAAAAAUCUGCAGAAAGCUCAAGUUUGAACAAAAGUCAUGAAUCUCUCCCCACUCCAAACCAUGCAUAUUGUGGAGUUAAAUGCAGACUAAUUUGUUAAAAUGUGGUGCAUAUGCUGACAUAUGCAAUCAAUUUUCUAAUGUGGCAUGCUUUCCAUCACUUAGUAUGCAUAUCUCCCAGGUACAUGGACACUCUAUUAUGAACAGAGGAGCUUAUUUGUCCCCAGACAGCAAUAAGCAGUCAUCAGCUUGCUGAAAACUGCAAAUGUGUCCAAGCUAAUGCUGCAAGUAUUUGGACUGAUAUUACACAAAGAAGUUGGACAGAGAAAUACAAAGGAAGGCUCUCAUCCAUUUCCAGAAUAUUUUAUGCUUGGCAUUGCAAAACAUAUUUCAAUUUAUAUGAUGAUGAACAUAUAUUAAAAAGACUUAUCCAUUCACUUUCUGAAGGCAGUGUUUUAUUCAGGGGGAAAAAAGAUGCAGCUAAAAUGUCACAAUGCUUAGGAAACAUCUACUCAACCAGAUCAUGACUAAGGAAACUCCACACUAACUUUAUUUGUAUUUUGUUCAUGGUUUCUGUUUCUUUCAAUCCCUCUUAAUUAAUGUUAAAAGCUGUUAGUCAAAGGUAUGUAAUGUCUCAAAGCUGAAUCUUGAUUCAAGAUCUUGUAUGGGUUGAACCAUUUCUGGCUUAAGCACAACAGAAACCAGAGGAAAGAUGGGUACUUGUCAUUUCCCCAGCCUGCGCCACUUCACGGAGAGUAGGGAAGGAAACCGCCUCAGCUGAAAAACUUCAAGAGUUUUUUUAGACUUCUUAACUCAUCAGAAACCAAAGUACUGUAAAUAAAGUCCCACUUCUGUAAAAGUGCUUCUUUGCUGCCAUCAAAAAGAACAUGAGAGGCAGGUUACGGCUGUCUGACAUUCUUCUAAUUUAUUAAAAGGUGAUUGCUCAUCUGCAUUAGUUUUCAUGAAACUCUUUCUGAAACUGAUCUGGGAGGUUUCAAACUUAGCCUUCCACAUGAAAGAGAAUGGCCUGUAAUGUCGAAUUUCCUGCGUGUUCACUCGUCGGAAGAAAUAAGUUCAAGAGAUGGGACUAUGCGAUUACACGAAUUUAUUGUUUAAAACAACAAAACGCAUCAGCCGAGGCGUGAGAUUUUACAACACCUCCGAAUAAUGGCGAGUCACAAGACUUAGAGUUACAUGGUAAUUUAUAACUUUCUAAUCCAAUAGGCACUUAAAACGACACUUUGUUUUAGAUAUAUGACCUAUCACCUGUGGCACUUCUCACUGCAAUGCAGCUGUGUCUUGACCAAUAACUUCUCAUGUCACGUACACAGAGAUGUCUCUCUUAUACCAUCUACAUUCUUAACUUCAACUGUAUAAAAUCACACUAUUAUAUUUAAAACCCUCUACCAGAACACCCAGUGUACAUUUUUACUUACAGGAACACAGGCUUGUAAUCCUUUUGCUUAAGAUCUAUAAAUCUCUUUCUAUUAAGCCAGACCUAGUUUCUUCCAGGGUUGUAAAUCAAAACCUCAUUUAAUUGCAGGAGUUUCUACUCCUCUGUCUCCCACACUAACCAGUGGGUCAAGGAAAGGGAAUCCUCCUUACUCCUCUUCUUUCACUUUCCCUAUUGAUCUAAUGAACAUCUGUCUUUAAAAAGAAAGGGAAUAAUUCUCACAAGAGUAAUUUAAUGCAAGAACGGUUAGAGUGUUGCACUUGCAGGCAAUUAGUUUAGAAUUAUUUCCAUUGAGUUGAAUUCACAGCUUCAGGUAACAGCAUCUGAGAGACCAUCCAGUUGAAGGCAGGCUCUGAUAGUGCUUUCUGUCUUUCCAUGUUUCAGUUCUGCUAUUCCAGUAGAAUUUGGAAGCUCCUGCUUCUAUGGGCUGGAAGAAAAUCCCUACAGAAGAAGAGAUGCUUCACAAAUGCCUUAGAUAGCAGAUUCCCUUCCUCUCAGCUCAGCCACUCUCACAGAUGACUAAGGUCACACAGGUGGCAGUAAUCAGUAGCAGUUCUGGAGGAAAAAAGACCCUCAGGUGGUGUUGGAAAAGGGAAAUGGAGGUCUUGUCUUAGUGUAUUAUUGCUGCUCCUUCACCAGUAACAACUGAUAAGUCAUCUUGCAACCAGUGAAAAGGAGAGAAGUUUUCUUUUGUCAACCCCUCCUUAUGUGAACUUACACCUUAUCUGAAUUUACAGUAAGUGCUGACUUACUGGCAGAGGGGAUUAUAAGGACAAGGGUCUUUUUCUAUCAAAUAAUUUUUCAUUUUCACUUAUUUUUCAGGGAAAAGUUCAGUAUUUAUUGUGUUCAAACAGAGCUACCUUGUCACCAAGGUUUUGAGACACCUCAGAUUUUAGUGCAGGACAGGUUUUAAACACUUCUGGAAGAUAGUCAGUUUCUGUUGGAAAUCUCAAUGUCCAGUAUUGUUAUUUCAAUGAAUUUAUAGUCAAAACUACUCUCCUCAUGAAUACUUAUUUGUUUUGAUCCAGGUCAAAACAAACUCAAUUACCUGCCUCUGUGACGGAUUUCAAUAAAUCUUUCUUAUUUCUUUUUGCUAAAAUGGGAAGAUGAAGGGAAGAAGGUAACAUUGUAUCUGAAGUCAGUUUCUAAUUCAAUUAGAGCUUCAUCUUGGCCCCAUUGAACUCACUGGGCUUUUUGCCACUAACUAAUAACGUUAGAGUCAGACUCAUAAGAUACAGUUUCUUAUUUCUUCCAGAUAACCAAUUAAAAUAUUAAAUAUCUCGGGGUGAAUGCUUCCUUCUCAUCCACAUGUUCUUUGAUAUUGUGUUAUUGCUUUUUCUUCUGUCCUUCAGUAAGUUUUAAUUAAGAGUUCCUUUGUGUGUAGGUGAAGGGGGGAUGUUUUAUUUUAAAACUUUUCAGGAUAUGCUUUAGUUUUGAUGGUUUCUAAAGAGAGAAAAAACAGGAACUUUUUUUUCUAGUGGAGGCCUAAUCUACCAAAUAUGCUUGCCUGAGUAUGAGUUGGGAAAUGAGAUGAUGAAUAAGGGGUAUGAGAGCAAACAUACACUCUAUCUCCUCUUUUAAUUUAAAAAAGAGAAAAAAAGGAAAAGAAUGUAUUUGAUCAUUAAAAAUCCUAGCUCAUCAGACUCUCCAGAGAAAAUAAAUCUCCUUUAUAUUUCACAAAAUGUCCAUUGUGAAAACAAGAUUAAUAUUACUGAUAGCUGGAUUAAUUUCUGAAGUCUCAUUAAGUUUAUAUCCAUUCAUUCUUUUUAAAUCUGUCAGAUCAGUUCUUACAACAGGGACAACUGAAAAUAAGGCCUUUAGAUCCAGUUUGUAGCAUUAGUUGCUAUGUCUGACAAUACAGGUGAAAGGAAUGUGAUAUCAGGGACUACAGAUUCAGAUAAAAGCUUGAAGCAGGAGAUGUGGGCAAAGAGGCACCUCUAAAAUGUUCUUGAAUUCUGGUAUAUACUUGUACAAAGAAGGAAGCUAUUUGAGUGGUGGAGAGAAGAAGGGAAAGGGAAUGAGGAGGCUGAAGGGUGGGACCUCAUUGCUUUCUACAACUUCUUGAAAGGAGGUUGUAGUGAGGUGGGAGUCAGUCACUUCUGUCAUAUUUCAGUCUAAAGGAUGUGAGGAAAUGGCCUUAAGUUGUGCCAGGGAAGGUUCAAAUUAGACGUUAGAAAAAAAUUUAUCACUGAGAAUGGUGGUUAGGUGUUGAAAUAAGUUGCCCAGGGAGAUUGUGGAGUCACCCUCUCUGGAAGCCUUCAAGAGGAGCCCAGGUUUCUCACUUGGGGAUAUGGUUUAGGGGUGAUUAUGGUGGUGUGAGGCUGAUAGCUGGACUAGGUGAUCUUGAAAGUCACUUACAAUAUUUAUGAAUCUGUGUGACUCUGGCUUGAUUUUCCUUCAGAUUUGUUCUGGUGACCAUAUACUUGGGUGACAGUGUAUGUACCAGUAGUAUUGCCUGGCUAAUACUUGAAAAAAGGUGUAUUAUCCUCCAUUCAGGCAAAUAUUUGAAAAUCAUAACUUUGGUCUAAGCAAAGAUUUUGCACUACAGUUAUUGACUUGGGCCUUAUGUGCAAGGCCAAAAAUAUUCCAGUUAUCUCUCUUCUGUGCAAGUACACACUGCACAUUGGUAUAUGCAAGAUGGUAACUGAAGGCCUUUCUAGAGCAUCUGAAAUUAUGGAAAAUUUAGAUUUUUACUUGGCUUUAAUAACAGUAGGGGACUAGAAGGGGAGAAAGUGAAAUCCUACCCAAUCUACUGAUGUAGAGAAGAUAAAACAUUAUUUCUAAUGGUGUGUUAUGUCAUUAAGUCUACUUUUUCAUUUUAAAAACCUAAAUUACAGGGUGUAGGGUGUUGGAGGCAUGACAGCAAUUCCCACUCCUUGUAAGAAUUAAACUGCUGGCUGCUUACAAGGUUUUCUAAUGACAAAACUGUCUUCCAAAUACAUUAUGGCCUUGUUUAUUGAUUUAUCUAGGUCUCUAAGGAAUAUUACAGACUGAUCUGAAAUGUCUGUCUCAUGUAUAUUGAAAGACUUAAAACUGCUGAAAACAACUAUCUGAUGUCUGAAUAACUUUGUUUAAUUGUUGACUUUAAAACUAGCUUAAAGAAUAUGUUGGAUGUUAUCAUGUCAUUAACUUUUCCCUCUGAGGAGGGUGCUUGAGUGUUUUCCUGCACAUUUUAAGUUCCUUGCUCUAGAUGUUGUAAGGACAAGGAAGAAUCUUUUUCAAUACAUUGUGCUGUGAAGCCCUCUCCAGUAAAGCAUUUCAUCUUGACUAAUAUUAUUUUCUUUUGCCUGAAAAUCAAUGUACAGUCUUUUCUAUGCACUGUACAUCCUGGACAGCUUCCAGGGUUUGAAAUCUGGCCAGUGUCACUGUAAGACUCUAGGGGCAGGAAUGUAAUAUUUGUUUAGUUAAGUCAAAUGGGAACCAUAGAUCAAGAUAUUAUUUAUAAUCCAAUGGCACAGGCUAAUUUUAGUAGCCAAGCUAUAUAUGUGUCAAGCAAGCAGUUGCUAAACCUUGCUUAAAGAGCUUUGAUAUCUAUUGAUCUUGCUGAUUGUAACCAUGCCUUUCAUCUGAAAGUGAUAAAUGGAUAAAUUGAAAACCACGUGAAAGCAAAUUAAUGCCUUUUAUUUAAACAAAUAGAUGGGAAACUAUUUUGUCUAUACUAGCUCCAGACAACAGCAUUUAAACUGCAUGAAUUUUCUCCUUUUUUCACCUGAUCCAGGUGGUGGAUGUUUUCAUUUUCUCUUUCAGCCUACGAUUUGAAUGAAGCAGUGCUGAGUAAAAUGAAUUUCAGUAAGAAUGAAGGGAUGGAAAAAAGAUACUGAGUUAAACUGAAAGCACUCCUUGGAGUUGUUCAACAGAGUUGCAAUUGGGAUAGCUUUUGUCUUACUAAAUACUAUAUUCUAAGGUAAAGUAGUAUAUCUGGCCAGAAUUUUUAGGUGGAGGAGAAAAAGAAAUACAUGUUAGACUCAAAUCAGGUGUUCCUUGAUGUUGAUCAUGACUAUGUGAGUUUCAGAUGUCAUUAAAGUUAUCCUGUAGUGCAAGCAAAUUUUCCUUUGACAGAAACUGGCAAGAUUUGAAAAAUUACAUGUUUAUUUUGCAGCAAAGUAAUCAGGUGCUUUUGUCUUUUUUUUUUAAUUCAUCAAGGCAAAGAAAGAGGUACAAACUAUAUCAUUUUGUUAUAAUAUUAAGAUAAUUUGGAGAGAAAUACGUGAGCCCAUGGUGAUUCAUAUCAUGGAUCCAAACAUGAGGUUUUUCUGUAUAUUGGGAGAGUCCUUGGAUGAGCAAGUUUUUAUUUAUACAUAUGCAAAAUAAACCUAUUCCUGCCAUAUUUUGAUGAGGCGAUUUAAGAUCUGCUUCCUUUAUCUCUAAAAUUAAUGAGUAUAAGAAUUGUCAGCAGGCUUUUAAGUUGUUUAAAACUAAAUGUGCGUGGUCAAACAGUAUUGCAGAAAUGUCUCUGGUAAAAAAGAAGUAAAACUCAAAGUGUGAAACUUGAAUGUGUUUCACUGGCUUUGUGGGAGGAUGGUGGCAGGUUUGCAAGCAUUUAUAGAUCAAUGAAUGUGCUGACCUUCCAAUAGCAAAUACUAUUGAAAUUACAGCAAACUUCCAUUGAUUUUUUUAAGUCCUUGAAUAUAACUUUAGAAAUAUCUUUAUCAUAAGGUACAUGGCAAUUUGGAUGAUAUUUUUUAGUAGAACAAUUAGUAAUUGGGUUAGAAAAAAUGCUUCAACUUUUGAGCCAUUCUUGUCAAUAUGAAUAAUCAGGGUAAAAUAAUGAAUAAUGCUAAUGGCAAUUUAAUGAAAUAUGAGUAGUGAAUAGCACUAGAGAUCUUUUGGAAUGGCUGAUCUAUCCAGUACUUUAUCAGAAACACAAUUUUUAAACAGUAAUAUACCAAACUAUGUUUGUUUCAGAUUUUUAUUUUAUAUAAGACUGAUCUUAAUACAGAUAUAUUUUAUAUCUGAUUUAAUAACACUAUACUUAUUCUAUCCAUUUACUGUCUGUCUGUCAAAGUUUGUGCUAGCAUAACAAUCCCAAUUCACAUCUGCAAUUUCAGAGAACUUAAAGGUAUUAUUCCUGUUUGUAAUAUUUUUCUGCCACUUUUCAUUAUUUAUGAACUGGUGGUGCUUUCUGGUGCAAACUGAGAAAACACUUUGAGAAAUGUCACCUGUUUCCUUAUCUGUUAAUUUAAAAAGAAGUACAACAAAAACCUUAUAUAUUUAACUAUGCUAUAAUCUUUUAAUUUGUCCUUCGUAGUCAGGUUCUAGACUGAUCUCUCCAAAAGCAUCAACAUGCAUCUGUUCAUUGGUCAAACCAGAGUCUACACUGUAUUUCUGAAGUGUGUCCUGAGCAACAUAAAUUUCUUUGGCUCCACUUGUUCUUGCUGUUUUCUCAUUAGGAUGCCUAAGGAUUUUCACUGAACUGGUGGGAUUGACUAUAACCAGGAACUGAAAAUGCCUCCAUUUAAAGUUUUCUUGUCGCUGAAAAAGACCUUGACUUCACCUUUCAAAUUCCAAAUGGAAUGGCAAGCUAAAGUGAACUUGUUCAGCUGAAAUUGCCGAGAUCUUAAGUACUCCAGGCUACUGGAAAGACAUCCUAUCAUUAAUCCUGCAUUAAUGAGGAGAAUGGACUUAGGGCAUGAUCCAGAGCCCAUUGUAGUCAAUGGGAGACUUUUUCCAUUGACUUCAUCGGGGUUUGGAUCAGGCCUUUACUUCCUAAAAUGAAUAAACUCCCAGCAAAAUCUGCGAUAAGCAAGUGGCAUCCUUUUCUGAGAUCUUAGAAGAUACCGAAGACGAUAAUACUCACACUUCACCCAUGAAUAUGGCUGUGUAUGUGACUCACUUCUCAUGGGGAGCACUGAGUUUAUCUUAACAGCAAAGAAAGCCCUUUAAAGUCUAAGCAUUACUGGUCAGAUUCAGAAUAUUUGAUCUAGAAAGUAGGGAUUUAUGUCCAUGAAAUAAAUUGUUAAAUUGUGAGAAACAAAGCUGAUACAUUUCUGAGUAUUUCUUAGUUUCCAAGGGAAAGGGGAUUAUUUAAGCUUAAAACUCCCAGAACUCUAGUAUGUGAAUUCCUGACAUUCAGAAUUAAAAAGGAAUGAUGUCAAUAGGGACUUUACUUUCUGUCACAAAAACUGUACUAUGAUAGUACUAACACAAAAUCAUCAAUUUGUCUAUGAGGAGUGAUGAUUUUCAAGUUUCUAUAAAAGAAAUGUCAAUAUGGUACAAAAUUAAAGGAAACUAAAGGAUUUAUUUAAAAAAUAGGAAAUAGAAGGGAGUUGCAAAGUUCCUGUUUAGUUGUUGUUGUUGUUGUUUUUAGAAAAAAAAUAAAUCUUCCCCUAACUCUUGAACCCUUGUACUUUCCAAAUAAAUAGUUCUAAUUAGGUCAUGUAAAUGUCUGAAAUCCUGAAUGCCUGACAAUACAGGCUAAGCAAUGGCUUCAGGGCUUUUGGCUUCAGUCUUAAUUAGUUACAUGACUUCUGACUUGGCCAUCUGCAGGACUGUCUCUAUGUCUGAGAUGCUCAAAAUUGCCUUUACAGAUAGCACUUUUGUAGCAGAAAUCUUUUCAUGUCACUGCAGUUGUUUAACAUUGAUCUGAUGAAUUAUGUCCCAAAAUUACCUCUAUCUCUAUAAUCAUUAUGAAAGAAACAAAUAUAUCAACUCAAAAAUACAUGUACGUAUUUGAGCACAUAAUUUGUUUUUGCCUCUAUCCUCACUUGAUACAAACUGAGAACCUUAAAACAUUGUGAUCAGGACCAACAAAAAUCUGGAGGUUCAAUAGUGACAUGGUUGAUACAGCCUUUGGACUUCCAGAAAUCCUUAUUGUAGCAGUGGAGAGGGCUUAGACAUUGCCAGUCAUAAUUUUCACAGCUCCAAGGCAACUGAUUUGCAAAGGGAAGAAGAAAGAUCUUGACAGAUUUCUGCCAGAUGUUCAGGGACAUCCUAAAUUCAGACACCCUUGAUACAUUCUUCUCCUUUUCCUCCUUCUAUGUGAAGGUGUUCAUAUUUUCCAUUUCUUGCCAACAGCCUGAAGUGAUUGCUGUCUUGCACUUGUAGAAAAUUCUGUCAAAAACUGACAUUUUUAAAGAGUAAUUUGUUCCUCCUUUCCUUGGCAUAAUGAGAUGCAUAGAAAGAAAAUUUUUGGUUUAUGUGGCACCUCUGAAAGAGUUAUCUGCAAUGUUUAGUUAGCAUAUUUUUUUUGUCAAAACUAAUAAACAAGUAGUAUGGGACAGAUUGUUGGUGCUUCUGAGGUAAUUACAACCUUUACAGUAAUUCCAUUAAAACAGUGUCUCCUGGUUGACUGAAAGAGAACUUAUAUGGAAACAGACCUGCUUGAAAAAUGUGUUUGGGAGAUAUAAUUAUACAGUGAAACUCCUCAAGAACUCUUAUAUUUAAUACAAAUGUCUUUUCCCAUUUGAAAUUAAAUGCAUUAAUCUUGUUAGUUUACACAAAUUUUAGGGGAAAUUUAUGAUCAAAACGUAUUGUAAUUGGGAUAUUUAUUUCACCCUAUAAUUUGUUUUCUUAUAAAAAGUUCCGUGUAUUACUAGGUGAUUCUUGUCAUGGUUCAUGUCACCCUUGAUUGAUGUGAUCCUAUUUGACCCCAUUUUUGCAGUUUAAAAUGUUGUAUAGGUCAAAAUUUCUCUUUGACCACUGAAAAGGCUUACCAUUAUAUUUUCCAAAGUUAUAUUCUCUAAGUCAGAUUGAUAUGACAGUAGAUUAUAAUUAAAUUAAACUGUAAAUCCCUAUAUGUAAAUCAUAGAUAUGGUCUUGAGGGUGACUUUGGGCUACUGGUUUUUGAAAUUUGCUCUUAUAUUGUAUAGUUUCUUAAUAAAUGUUAAAGUUGUUCUUUUAUUUUAUAUAGUCUCUUCACUUUGUUUUAUUAUUUUCUUAUUGCUAGUUCUUAGACUUCAGCAAUAACACUAAUUAAAACUGUUAAUAUAUUUCCUUCUGUAAUUAAUCUCUUUUCCUAACUUGUAAGAGAAUGUUUAUAAUAUGCCUCUUUAUAUUCUUGAAAAAAAUCUAUAAUAACACUGCUAAAAUAUUUUGGAAUUGUUUUCCUUUAAACUCAGGAAAUUAUUUCUGUCAUUUAUGUUAUUAGAUUUUAAUUCAGUAAAAAUAAGCUAGCAGACUGUGAAGGGCACAAACUAUAAACCUUUCAACAGAUUUGGCAGGAAAAGUCAUGCAAGAAAAGUAUGAAUGGGGAUUUGGAGAAUCAGUUGUGUGAGUGAGUGAUGUUAUGAAAUAAGGACUUUAUAGAUGAUGAGUUACAUCUUCAGCUUGAAAAAGAAUCUGCAUGUUUUUUUACAGAGUGUGGCAAUUCAAAGUGACCAAAUUACAGGGCUGUCACUAGACUUCCUUUUCAGCUGUCUACCUAAGACAAAUCCCCUUUUUUCCUUUACUUCUGGUUUGGUUUGGUUUGGUUUGGUUUGUUUUUUUUUUAAAGAAUACAGAAACAUGAAAUGCAAGAAUUCAUUCAAGUAUGACACUGUAGUAUGGCAAAUUGCAUAUUGUUCUGGUUCAGACAGUGAUCUGCAGAAAAUUUAUGUAUUAUCUCUAGAAAUUUGUAUUGUCUGCAGACCACCUAAGAGCUGUACUCGAAUCUUUGAAGUGAUGUUCAUUCUGUAGCUAUCUAUGAAAUGAUCACUGUUUCAAAUAUAUUAGGAAUAUCUUAUUGCUAGUUUCUCUUUUCAAAAUAAUGUGUAUGCAUUAGCUGAGAACAGAGGUGAAACAUUUGAACAUUAGAAAACCAUGCUGAUGAACAAGCUGGCAUAGAAAAUGAACUGAAAACUGUAGGGAACUGAAUAUCUAUAUAGGUUUGUCUCAUUGAUUAAGGUUUAUCUACUACAGCAAGUCAAAAGCACAAAGGAAAAUAAUUCCUCUCAUGUACAAAAAGAGAACAAAUGGAUGCUGAUAUGGAAAUUAGUUACUUAAGUAGCUAUUACAUACAGGGAUAUUGAACGAAGCAUUGGCGUUUGCAAGUGGUUUUGAAUUUUUUAUACUGUGUGUAAUGAUUAAAGUAAAGGUAUAAAACAAUCCAUUAAUGUGUUGUGGCAUCUUUUAUAAAUACUAGAGAGAGAUAAUUUUGAUUUUGUAGAAGCAAUGCAUGUUAGAAGAAAAAGCAUAUCAAGACCUCUUAACCUGACAAUUUAUACCCAGAAACAGAAAAAACAUUUUGAUUCACAGUUGAGAGUCUCAAAUUGAUUUAUGUCCUUGGAAAUCAGUUUCAUUGCUCGGAGCUGAUAUAUUCCAAACUAUUAGUAUAUAGAGAAUACUGUGUCUUGAGAACUUGAAAGAAAGUCUCAAUUGCCAUACUCACCUACACAAAGAAAUAAUACUGCUCCUCAACUGAGCUGUGGAAAUGUGCUACACACAGACACAGACAUACAGACACUCAAACACCCUCUUCACACACAGUCAAAACCUUUCCUAUUCACUGUUUUGAUGGCUCAGUUUCAGUACUUCUGCCAUAUUUUAUUUUUGAGGAAAGUUUUUGAAAGAAGAUAUUCCAUGAAUUAUAAGAACAGCAAAUAGAGAUAUGACUUUGGCACAUGUAAGAAUAAAGUUUAGGAACAGCUUCUGUUUCUAUAGUUUUUAAUCUGAGAAGCACAGCUGUGUCUGAGAAACACAGGCUCUAAGAUGGUCUGCAGAUGUUGAUUGUUCAGCCUUGAAACCUGCAUUAUUCAGAUCAGAACUACUGUGGAUCAACCACCACCUCUUUACUUUGAUAGACACACAGACCUGGAUGUUUCAACAGUUUCAUUGUGUGUAAAACAGUUUCAACAAGUUAAUUGUGCAAUUUUUUGUGGCUACAGUGGGCAUCCCCUGUUUUUUCUCUAGCUAUUAAAAGUCUCAAAAUGAAAUAUCUUAAUUUUGCUUUCUUCCAUAUCCUUAAUAACUGGUUAUAACUAAUAAACUCUGGAGCUGAAGUUCAGUAUUGUUUUCAAGUCGAGCAAACUACCAAGUGAAGUUGACAAUUGUAAAUGUCAUGCGAAUAUGGUGUUGAAGAAGGCAAAUACUGCAAUUACCAAUUUAAAUUUAAAAUUAUCUUUUGUCAGUAUUCAACUGUCACUUAAUCUCUCAGAUCAAGACUGAAGAUGUGAUGUUAUUGAUUUGUUUUUAAUAGAGAAUAACUUGCCCAUACUUUCUCUAGAGUAUAUUGGGUUGGAAACAAAGAUGAUGAAGGUUAGUUUAGGUUUUGAUGGAUAGACUAGAAUAUUUUCAUUUUCAUCUCUGAAGCACGAAAAUUCUAAACCCCACCCUUCUAAGGGCCAGAAAAGAGAAAGGAUUUACCUUAAUUAGUUUAUUUUGAAUCCACUUCAACACACCACACACUGAAAAUACAGAGCAUAAUUUUUUAAGGAGAUCUGACAGAUGAGUUAUCAAACAUCUUUUGCUUUGUCUUUCACAACCUUAUCAGGUAAAAAGGAGGCAAAGUUUUCAACACAGCUCCUUCAUCUUUUCAGGUACUCAUCUCUUUGUAUGUGUUCUCUUUAAAAUUCCGUUGUGAAGUUUAUGGCACUCUCUCUUCCAGACUUCUCAUUUAUUUAUUUUCCAGGACUGCCCCAGAAGAAAAACAUCAAGAUGGAUCUGAUUUUGCAUAUUAAUUGUCAGAGCACUAACAUAUAGCAUAGGUGUUUCUGUUGUUAUAGGAGAUAAAUUGCAUCCUUUUGGCCUGUGGAAAUAUUGAAAGUAUUGUAAGCUUUCAUGGUACCAGAUGGUUUCUAAUUACUAACACCAUUGCCUGGAAGAUUGUUUUUAGUCACUGACAAACUCAUAUUAUAUUUGCAUUUAAAUGGCUCUCAAAUGUACCCAAUAGUUUCUCAAUACACUGUCAGUAGGGACACAACUCCAAUUCUAUACAGUACCUUCACUGAAGCAGCUGCUGGCCAGACGCCUGUACAUAAAUUGAAAACAUUGUGUCUCUAGUGAUGUCUGGUUACCUUUUACUUCUUUCUUCAGAACAGGGCUUUGCUACCUCCACCAAUAAACAAACCUCUGUCUUUAACAUGACAACCUCUUACAUUUCUUUCAUUAUAAUUUUCCCUGGGCUAAGAGAGUCUUCCCUAAUGAAGUGAAUUACUUCCAAGUACUACAGGCGCUGUGCCUAAAAAUCUACUUAAAACAAAGAAAAAAAAAUCCUUUAUUUCAGUAGAGCUUUUAUCACAGUACUGCCAAAGCAGAGUCAUUAUUGCAUUUCGUCUAAAGUUGACUGAACUAUGGUUCAAAAAUGAAUUCUAAUCAGUGCAGGUUGACUUCAUAGAAUAGAUUGCACAAAACUGCACUUUAUAGGUGUUUGUGUCACUGUGUUGUGUUGUUGUGAAACCUGCUCAAGCAAAAAAUUUUUUGGAGAAUAUGUGUAACAUUAAAAAAAAAAAGAUAUUUUAAA
Corvus hawaiiensis (hawaiian crow) is the source of this 19889-nucleotide RNA transcript. It is a transcript of the gene named neuropilin and tolloid like 1, with no coding region annotated. The transcript has 11 exons. NCBI's taxonomy places the organism in Eukaryota, Metazoa, Chordata, Aves, Passeriformes, Corvidae. The record is from RefSeq and is a predicted model, not a curated record.